This 401-nucleotide ribosomal RNA is filed under the name Chalcides sphenopsiformis. RNAcentral describes it as "partial 12S ribosomal RNA". It matches the Rfam family "Bacterial small subunit ribosomal RNA", at positions 794 to 1399 of the family's 1533-position model. The record is from RNAcentral. Lineage: Eukaryota; Metazoa; Chordata; Lepidosauria; Squamata; Scincidae.
GCUUGGCCCUAAACAUAGACAACAAAAAUACAAUGUUGUCCGCCAGAGAACUACAAGCGAAAAACUCAAAACUCUAAGGACUUGGCGGUGCUCCACACCAGCCUAGAGGAGCCUGUCCUAUAAUCGAUACCCCACGUUAAACCUUACCACCUUUGGCCCCUCAGCCUAUAUACCGCCGUCGCCAGCAUACCUUGUGAAAGAAACAGCAGUAUGCACAAUAGUUAUUAACUAACACGUCAGGUCAAGGUGUAGCACAUGAGGUGGAAGAGAUGGGCUACAUUUUCUACCACAGAACAGACGAAAGACGCAAUGAAACAUGCACCUGAAGGCGGAUUUAGCAGUAAGACAAACAAGAAAUGCUAUCUUAAACUCGCUCUGGAGCGCGCACACACCGCCCGUCA